CCUACGGGGGGCAGCAGUGGGGAAUAUUGCACAAUGGGGGAAACCCUGAUGCAGCAACGCCGCGUGAGUGAUGACGGCCUUCGGGUUGUAAAGCUCUGUCUUCAGGGACGAUAAUGACGGUACCUGAGGAGGAAGCCACGGCUAACUACGUGCCAGCAGCCGCGGUAAUACGUAGGUGGCGAGCGUUGUCCGGAUUUACUGGGCGUAAAGGGAGCGUAGGCGGACUUUUAAGUGAGAUGUGAAAUACUCGGGCUCAACUUGAGUGCUGCAUUUGAAACUGUGUUUCUUGAGUACUGGAGAGGCAG
RNAcentral lists this ribosomal RNA (305 nucleotides) under uncultured bacterium. RNAcentral describes it as "bacterial SSU rRNA". It matches the Rfam family "Bacterial small subunit ribosomal RNA", at positions 338 to 660 of the family's 1533-position model. The record is from RNAcentral.